Molecule: ribosomal RNA, 230 nt
Filed under: uncultured bacterium
Lineage: Bacteria
Description: partial 16S ribosomal RNA
Rfam family: Bacterial small subunit ribosomal RNA
Source: RNAcentral
GCAAGUCGAACGAGAAGUUACCUUCGGGUAAUGGACAGUGGCGGUCGGGUGAGUAACACGUGGGAAUAUGCCUUUUGGUCCAGAACAACGCUUGGAAACGAGUGCUUAUACUGUAUACGCCCUCCGGGGGAAAGAUUUAUCGCCGAGUGAUUGGCCCGCGUUAGAUUAGCUAGUUGGUGAGGUAAUGGCUCACCAAGGCGACGAUCUAUAGCUGGUUUGAGAGGGUGAUC